AGGUCAUGUUGAGGACAAUUCCUUAACAAACACUUGUAACGCUCCCAUGCUUCUUAAAGUGACUCCCCCGGGUUUUGCUCAAAAUUGCCUAUUACCUUCUUGAGUUU
Small nucleolar RNA from Lactuca sativa (garden lettuce), 107 nucleotides. NCBI's taxonomy places the organism in Eukaryota, Viridiplantae, Streptophyta, Magnoliopsida, Asterales, Asteraceae. The record is from RefSeq and is a predicted model, not a curated record.